This is a non-coding RNA of Lyophyllum atratum, 99 nucleotides long. The record is from the annotation of a GenBank genome assembly. Lineage: Eukaryota; Fungi; Basidiomycota; Agaricomycetes; Agaricales; Lyophyllaceae.
AGCAGCAUGGCGCAGCCGGAAGCGCGCGGGGGUCCACAUAUCGCCUCGUGGCUGACAUAUUGACAACCGCGAUCACUCGUUCGACUCGAGUUGCUGCUA